Molecule: long non-coding RNA, 702 nt
Filed under: Olea europaea subsp. europaea
Lineage: Eukaryota; Viridiplantae; Streptophyta; Magnoliopsida; Lamiales; Oleaceae
Source: RNAcentral
CAGGAAUUUAUCAUACCUGGUUAGAAGUUUCAGAUUGUAUUAAGAAUUUUCCAAAUCCUCUUUACAAAGGAUUUUAUUCAAUUUCAGAAGUAUUAGAAGAAUGUAGAAAAUUUAUAGGUGCAAAUUAUUUUAUUGUUCCUUCUUUAAAAAAUGUUUCAGAUCAACCUUUAGAUUAUUCUUCAAGAUUUUGUGAUCAUUGUGAAUGUAUGACAAAGAACUUUAAGAUUUUAAAUGAAUCAAACCAGAUUUUACAACAAGAGAAAUUAGUUUUACAAAAGAAAAUCUCUGAUUUAGAACAAGAGAUUAUUAAUUUAAAAAUUUUAAACCCUAUUUCUCAGACAGAAGCAGGUACUAUAGAGCCCAAGAAUUCUAUAGCUAGUCCAGCUCAAACGGAAGCUGGUAAAGACUUAUCAAAUCCGUUUAUGGUUCUGGGCUUACCAAAAGCUCAACAGACUCAGAGGACUGUUGAUUCCUCUACUUCUCAGACUCAACAGGCUGAAAAUCCUGUUACAUUUAAUUCAGAAGAACGGACACAGCAGACUGAUAAUUCUGCUACUAGAUUUAUUAGUCCAAUAGAUCUUAAACAGAAAAGCCCAAUUAAUUUUCCAAGACCAUUCCAAUCAGCUCAGGAUCCAGAACAGAUUUCUCAGUCAGAUGUUAGAAAGAUCAAAGAAAUGUUUGAUAAGAUUGAGGAGAUUCAGC